Poronia punctata is the source of this 135-nucleotide non-coding RNA. NCBI's taxonomy places the organism in Eukaryota, Fungi, Ascomycota, Sordariomycetes, Xylariales, Xylariaceae. The record is from the annotation of a GenBank genome assembly.
GCCCGGUUAGCUCAAUCGGUAGAGCGUGAGACUCUUAAUCUCAAGGUUGCGGGUAAGUUGUGAAUAUGAUGCCCACCAGUAGAUGGUUGGACGCUAAGAUAUGUUAUGUUAUAGGUUCGACCCCCGCAUUGGGCU